AACAGAGGCUUCCCUCCACUUCACGAGUUGGCCCAUUGGAUAUAGCGCACGCACGCACGCAGAUCAGAUCGAUCAGUCCUUCAUCGCCCAAAAGAAAUAUCCAUCGAUCAGAUCCAGGAGCCUAACCGGCCACCAGCACCUCCCUGGCGCCCCUGUUCUACUCCCACGCGAUCGGCGAGCCGCCAGGCGGCCAUGGCCAGGGCUGUUGCCAUCGCCUGCUCGGCGAUCGGACGUGCGCACGGCGGCGCGGACAGCGGACGGCGCGACUAAUCUAUCCCCGCUCACUUCAGUUCCGAUCUCUGCAGUCGGCAGCAGAGAGCAGACAUUGAUUCAGUUUGAAACCAACAUCCCACGGAUUCAGGUAUAAUAUGCUAAUUAGAUGUAUUAAUCCAUCACUUCUGAAAUUGGGGCCUCUUCUCUCAUGCCAAUUCUUAUUUCUUGGUCGAAUUGAAUUCAUCUAUAGGGGCAUGAUUUUCUUCUUGUACUGCCAAACACUGUUUUUUUUUUUUGAGAAUUACACAAACUGAUCAAUCAGCCUGGUUAAAGUCUUUCCUCAAUGUAUCACUCAGCUCAUCUUGCAUGCCGGCAAAGAUCGCCCAACUUAGAUGCAAAAGCUGCUAGGGCAUGAGCAAGUUUGUUCUUGUCCCUCUGAAGCCAUUUUUUCAGAUGUGAUCCAAAAUGUCUACACCCCAACGAGAAGAGCGGGGUCCCCUGAUAGUCCCUGGCAACUGCAUUGCACCGCACCCGCUCUCACCCGUCGCGGCAACAAAGGGCGCGUCUGCAUUUAGUUUAAACCACGCCGGUGAUUGGAGGGCGCCAUUGCUCUCUGAUCGUACUCAGAGGAACCGGGCACUGAUCGUCAUACAAAUUCAUACAGAAAACGCCCCUCUCGGCCUCUGAUUUCCCCUGUGCGAUCCUGACUUCUUCCUCAUACUUGAGCAGGAAAGCAACUGAUCCCGAGAUGGUUUCCUUUCCAUUACUGUGGAUUAUAUUAUCCCGGAGAAACCAUGCCCGCCAUAACAUGAGUAGGAUUUUGUUUCGGGUAUCACCAUCGCAUGUAUUUAGGAGGUUCUGAAGCCAAUCCUCCCCGUGUACCGGAAAGCAUUUUCUUUUGGGAGCCUCCAAUGAUCUCUCAUUGCUUGUCUCAGGGCUCUACUUUUCAUACACGAUAUAACAUCAUGGAACUCAUCUUCCUCCGUGUUGCCGCAAAUAUCACAAGUGUUGUCCGUAGCAACAGUUCGUCUGCAUUUGUUAGCUUUGGUGGCUAGAUGUUUGUAGCCACCCUCCAUCCGUGUAUUUUAAUUUUUCCGGGGAUUCUCUCUUUCCAAAUAAGAUCCCAGCUGCUGCGGUCGUCAACACUCGCAGUGGAGCUAGAGGUCUGGGGCCGCUCCCUUUUGUUGCCAUCUCUAGCCUGUAGGCACUCUUCACAGUAAAAUUGCCGGAGUUCUCAUAGUGCCAAGCCACACAAUCCACAGUCUCCCCUUUUGGUAUUCUUAUUCUGACAAUUUCAGAAGCAUCAAAAGGAUUGAAUAUCCUGUUGGUAAGUCCAUGGUUCCACUCUUUAGUGACCGGAUCAAUAAGUUGGUUUACCCAUCUCAGCCUCGGCCUCCAUGUGAAGUUAGCAACCUUUAGGCCCUCUUUCCUUGGGAUCCAUUGGUUCCUUUGGAUUUGGAUGUUGUUUCCAUUACCACCCACUCUCCAAAUUAGCCUUCUCUUCAGCAGCUCUAGGCCGAACUCAAUUCCUCUCCAGGUCGGAGAUGCAUCAUAUGCAAAAAAACCGUGUCUAAUAGUUCUCCUUUAGGGUAGUAUUUGACUUGAGGACCCUCGCACACAAACUGUCCGGAUGGUGGAUCAACCUCCAUCCAUUUCUUACCAGCAAUGCUUGGUUGAAUAAGUGCAUGUCCCUUAAACUGAUGCCUCCUCCUCUCCUUGGUUUUGUCAUAUUGUCCCAUUCAUCACCCCAAUAUAAGUCUCUAAUCAGUCUCUCAUACUUGUCAUAGAACCCCAUGGACACCUUAAACAAAACCAUAGUAAAGGUAGGUAGGGCUUGGACAAUUGAUUUUACAUGGACUUCGACAUAUGUCUGCCCGACCCGUUGGUGCAUCUUUUCAUGAACCUUUCCAUAUUCGAUAAAAUUAUCUUCCUUAAUUCUACUAUCGGGGGUAGGUAAGCCAAUGUAUUUUCUUUCAAAAGUUGAGGCCUCAACUUCGAGUACCUCUCUAAUGCCAUUCUGGAUAGGGUCCAGACAUUUCUCACUGAACAACAAAGAGCACUUAUUUGGGCUUACGAGCUGACCAGUGCCCCUCUAGAAAGUGGAUAGCAUGUAUUUUACCACCUCUGCUUGAUCAACUGAAGCUUUGAAAAAAAGAAGGCUAUCAUCCGCGAAGAGCAGAUUAGAAAUUCCUGGGCUUCCUCGAGCAACUUUAGCGGCAAGAUGUCGCCACCACUAACUUCCAUCUGCAGAAUCCGUGAUAGGCCAUGUGCCGCAAACAGAAAUAAGUAUGGGCUGAGGGGGUCACCUUGUCUAAGCCCACGGGUCAGUUGGAAUCUCUCUAGUAGUUCUCCAUUGCAUUCCACAGAGUAUCUCACGGACCGGACACGAACCAUAAUCCAUGCUAUCCAUUUUUUGCCGAACCCAUAUUGGUCCAAAACACCCUCCAAGAACCUCCAAUCCACCCUGUCGUAAGCCUUGGCGAGGUCAAGCUUGUAUGCACAGUGUGUGUUCGUAGGAUAACUGCUAUGCUGGAUUUUGUGGAAACAUUCAAAAGCAAUCGGUGCAUUAUCCGUAAUCAUUUGGCCGGGAAUAAACAUAAUCUGUGUCUCGGAUAAAAGGCCAUCCGAGAGGGGACGCAGCCGGUUGACCAAGCAUUUUGAGAGCACCUUGUAGAUGACAUUACAUAGACUAAUCGGUCUGAAAUCCUUCAACGAUCGUGGAUCAUUACCUUUGGGAAUGAGAACAAUGGCGGUGUCGUUUAGGCCCUUGAGCAUGAUUCCCUCAUCAAAGAAAUUAUGUACAACCUUCACUACAUCAGUCCUCAAAAGCCCCCAAUUCCUUUGGUAAAAUCAGGCAGGGAGACCAUCCGGUCCAGGGGCCUUUAGCGGUCCAAUCUGAAAAAGCGCAUUGCCGAUUUCCUUAUCAGUAAAUUCUUUCUCGAGUUCAUCAUCCAUUUCUUGGCUGAUCAUCCGUGUGAACAUGUCUAAUAGUUCGUGUGGGUUAACAUUCUUGUCCUCGGUAAACAGUUCCUUAAAGUAAUUUGUUUUCAUGCUCUCGAGGUCCUUCUCAACCCACUGACCUACUCCAUUUUGCACUUCCAUAAUGGUGUUUUGUUUUCGUCUGCAAGUAGCUCGCUCGUGAAACCAUUCCAUGUUCAUAUCCCCCUCACGUAAAUAUGUUGCUUUAGACCUCUCUCGCCACAUGAUCGCCUCGCGUAAGAGUAAUUCAACCAACUCAUCCGCAACCCUUUUUAUCUCCCUGUCAUUUGUUGCACUCUGCGAUUUAUUCAUGAGGGAUUGCAGUUUACUCCGGAGCUUUUUUUGUUUGCCUAGCUAGCAACUGAACCAAACUCCGAAUUACUCCAUUUGCCGAGCCCCUGCUGUAAUGCACACACCUUGUUCUGAACCUCUUGUCGUGUUGCAGCAGAUCCUCCCUUGCUCCAAAUUUCCUGAACCAACUCAUCCAUCGACCCCUCUCUCUCCCACAUAUGGCUUCGUAUCUGAACUCCUUUUUCUUUCUAUACACCAUGUUGCCUCCAAACUAAAGUAGAAGCGGGAGAUGGUCAGACCUUGCUGAACAAAAAUACUGAAUGUUAGCAUUUUGAGUUAUAUUCUAGAAUGUAUAUUUUUCACGUUGUAUGAGGGGUUUCCUCCACAUUUACCAUCUGUACUUGUAUAUAUANNNNNNNNNNNNNNNNNNNNNNNUAUAUAUAUAUAUAUAUUGGUCAUUUGCUUUCAGGGAAUACAAGUUGCAUAUUUCUAAUGGUAUUAGAGCAUAGGUAUUUUAGCACGCGCAACUCGUGCUUGAUCCUCUCCUCAUCGUCGGCACGUUUCUUUUGGUCCGGUUGUUGCUUCCUACUCCUCCAACUACCCAACCUCUCCGCCUUGUCCCGAUCCACCUCGCGUCGCUCGCGUCAAGCCGCUGCGAAGGCGCUUGAUCUCCGUAUCUCGUCGCUGCUCCUGUUUUCGCCUUGAGCCGCCGCAAAGGUGCCCGAUCUCUGCGCCCGUCNNNNNNNNNNNNNNNNNNNNNNNNNNNNNNNNNNNNNNNNNNNNNNCUCUGCGCCCGUCACUGCCCUCGUAGCCGAUCUUCACCGCCAAACACCGCCCUCGCGUUUUCCCCGGAUCCCGGACCGCCGACCUUGUCAGAUCUUUGCCGCUGCCGCCCCCUCCCUGGGUCUACAUCCUCCUUAGCACUCUCUUUUUUUAGGCAAAUGUCUUCCUAUUCUCUCCUAUAGGGUUGGAGAUUGUCUUCACAAGAGUAGUCCACUGAGGAUAGAUACCGUCACAUGGGUAGUCUCAUUUGUUGUAGUGGUGGCCACUAAUCACAAGAUUGAGCUCUGGGCAGUUGCCUUUUGCAAGCCCUGCAAACACCGGAGAGUGUUGAAAUACAUUGAUGUCGUUGUGAGAUCCGGCCAUGUCAAAGAANNNNNNNNNNNNNNNNNNNNNNNNNNNNNNNNNNNNNNNNNNNNNNNNNNNNNNUGUAAAAUCCAGAAAUGUUGAGCCAUGGCCUCAAAUAUGACAGUGGAAGCUUUCACAUGGCCCCUAUACUAUCCCUGCCAAGUAGAAGGGUAGUUCUUUCACUCGUAGUGCAUACAAUCUAUGCUACCAAGAAUCCCCAGAAAGCCCUUACUCGCAUUGAUCCCCAACAACAAGGCUGUAUCUACAAUAUUUGGCUCCCUCAAGUGCUCCGGGCCAAACACUGCUACUAGAGCCUUGCAAAACUUGUACAUGUACUCUAGUCAUGUGGAGUUGCUCAUUCGGACAUAAUGGUCAAUGAGACCAGCGAAUACUCUGUAUGCAAGCAUUCGAAUAGUCGUAGUUCUUUUCUGAUAAGAGGAGAAGACAAUCUUUCUGAUACAUGGCAAAACCGAGGGUGUUGACCUUUUCACACUUGGAGGGGAAAAGGAGAGAAAUCAAACAAACACUCAAGACAAUCUUCGAUCACACAUCUGCUAAACCCAUGAAACACAAGAGGAUGCAAUGAUUCGAGUCCAAUACGGGAUACAAGUAAAGAUGAUAGUUCUUCCCACUCAAAGAGAUGUUGCCUUGAAUCCUUAGAGGAUUUUUCCUAUGAUAGGGAUCUUCUCACAAAAAGGUCAUCUCCAUGGAGGAGGAAGUGGAAGGAGCAAUGCUCAACUAGCUAAGAGCCAAACAUAUGCUAAGCCUAGAUGGAGGAGUCCUUUAUAUAGUCUUAGGCGAGAGAGAGGGGAGAGAGGGGGCCUUCGGCCCGUGUCUGUCUAAGCAAGGGCCGAAUGUCUAGCCGGGGCCCUCAUGUCUGGGGCUUCUUGGGACACCAGAUGUCCGGACAGGAGAGACACAAGUCCGCGAGGUUCUGGACCCUCUUUGCUGGAUUUCCACUCGAGGUCUGGAUUUCUAAACGGGUGCCUUAUGUCCGGCUAGGGGGUGGAUGUAUGUUUAGCGGCCGGAUGUUCGGCCGCUGAAGCUUCAGCUGGCCUUCGAUUCUGGACUGGUGGCGCCGGAUUUCUGGGCCCUCGGCCCGAUGACCAACCGCUGGGAGGUCUUUGUGACUUCCUUUGGAGCUUGCCUUCAUCCAUCUUCUCGUUUGUCUCUGUGGUUACUUGUCCUUCACUCCAAGUGUCUCCGAGGUCGUCUUCAUGAUACCGAAGUAUGAAAAACAUUCCUCCUUGAGGUAGCGACCAUGUCUCAAGUGGACAGAACUAUGGAUCGGUAAGGAGAGAUGUCACCUCGAUUUCGAUGGCGCGUCUGCGAGCUCUUGUCAUAGGAUCACUUGGAGCUUGAGAGGGUGUUGUAGAAUCCAUGGGGAUGACCAUGGGAUGCUCCCCAUCACUUUCCGAGGUCCUCCUCCCUGCACUCGAAAUAGUUAUCGUAUACCCCAUCCCCUCCCAGAUACGGCUGAACACAUGUCUAGUCAUCCGAAAACGGCGCCUUAAUAGGUGGUGUUUGAAGAGGGGGUUAGGGGACUAGAAGUAAUCCUUUCAGAGUAGGCAAUGACAGCUCUCUUUGUUACGAUUCAGUGUCGGAGUAUGGCCCGGGAUCGAGCCAUUGAACACCAUUCACUCCCUACUCAUUGUUGGGAAACAUAGUAUAAACCAAAAAAAGGCCCUACAAUGGACUAGGAACACCAUGAACAUAAAAUAACGGUUACGAUCAAAUGGUUACCAACUUUGAGUUGCAGCAGAAGAAGAUGAGUCGGUGUAAAUCAUUGAUGAAGUCCCUCAAUCACUAGAUGAAUGAUCUAGUGAACCGCCCACAAACAAUCCCUCGAACGUAAGGUCGAAAGCACAACAUCUCUAAGAGUUGCAACGUAAGGUCUUCAUGAUCCGACAGUGCUUCACCGUGCAGGGCUAAUCAUCGCCUGGGAAUUAGAGGGAGGAUAUUAAAACCACACUCUGCUUCAAUUACGAGGAUCAGAUGAUUACAAUUAGAGGGAGGAGAUUAGAACCAUUCGUCGUAACAAGAAAUUGCAACAUACUCGUUUUGGUGGUGAUAAAUAGGUAUCACAUCGAGUAAAAUGUUUGUAGCAACAAACUAUUGCUACAAUUUGAACCUUUUGUGGCGAUACUCUAUUUCAAAAAAAACUUAGCUUGGUGGCGCUAAAUAGCUACGACAAUGGGCAAAAUAUUUGUAGCAAGAAGCUACUAUGACAAUGUAAACCUUGUGAGCCGAUACUCUAUUUCAACAAAACUUACUUUCAUGGUGCCACACAAUUAUUGCAUCGUGAAGAAAAAUAUGAUGCCAAGCUAUUGCGACAAUAUAAAGUGCUUGACUGCAACAUCCUAAUGCAACAAAACACAUAGGCAUGGCGGCUGAGAUUUGAAGCAAUACUACAUUUUUCGUAGUGCUAACAUGUGGCAACCGAAAGUGGGUUAUGUUAAUAGCCUAUUGCAACCAUAAAAAUAAAACAUGUAUUCAAUUACAAUAUUCAAAAUCAUACAUAUAAUAUCUAGAUUUAUAAAAUUCAUAAUUCUCGUAGCAAGUAUCCAUCAAGUGAACAAAUGUAAUUUAGCCAUCCAAAUUAAAUGUCAAGACUAAACUGUCCGUGUUCUCGAGUCCAGUCUAGAUAGUUCUUUGGAUCCUACAAUUAAGAAAUCGGAAAAAAGUUCUAGUUAAUGAGCCCAACAUAACAUAUGCCAUAUAAUAUUCCAACCCAUUGUUGAAAAGAAAUGGCGCGAGCCUACCUGGACUAAUACCGUGUCAGCAAGUAUGUAACUAAGGGAUGAGAAUACUUUUACAAGUGUAAAUUUCUAAAGCUAAGCACAAGUACAUCUACUAAAGCUUCCGAAAUUGAUUUAAGUUGUGACUCGAUAUAUAAUUUCAGUUAACUUCGCGUCCCUAGCUAGCACAUAUUUGGUUUUUGUUCAAGUUGUGACGCAAUGCAACAACAACAUAUGGUGAAAGAGAAGAAGCAGCUAUCUAAUUAUGAUGGUUGAUGACGUAUAAAAUGGAGGUGAACAUGAAGAUAAAGAAAGGUUAUGACUUGCCAUUGCUUCAAACAUCGAGAAUUCCUUGUUGCACCUUGUAUGAUCGCAUUUGGAGUCUUAUUAGGACUAGAUAUAUGUAAAAGAGUAUUUUGUAAGUUUGGAAUACUAUUUUCUUUGUCAACCUUCUUCGUAGGCACGGGUAUAUAGAAGUGCACUUUUGGAAAUGCAAGUAAGCAAAAUAAAUCAUACAAGGUCACAAACAUAUGGUUGUAAUCACUUGUUGGUUCCCAUAUGUUCUGCUCAAUUCUGCAAACUUUUCCAUCAAGUUUUCUUUUUCAAAUUCCAGUCUUGAUAUUCGCUACGCUUCCAACAAUCUUUCCCUUUCAGCAUGCUCUUCUUUUAACCUCUCCUCAAGUUGUUCUCUCUUAGCACGCUCCAAGUUUAUCCUCUCUUGUGUGUUUGCAUGUUCAACUUGUAAUUGAUCUUGCAAUUCGUUGACCAGUUGGCUGAGCUCAGAGUUUUGAUGUUGGGUGACUACUGUAGCACGAGCUUGCUCUUCAUUCUAGAUAUGAAACCUUUCAAAAUUAGUUGAAUGUUUGGUUGCGUAUCUCUACUUACGAGGCUGCGAUGACUUGCAUUACAAAGUGUCUUUGUAUGCGGUCUAAAAAAUAUUGUUUCUCUGCUCACUUGAAAGUGGACCUUGAGUUCCAGUUUCUUUGUUUUUCAACCUCUUGACAUGCUUUGUCCUAAACAUGAAAAGACCAAUUAUAGGUAUGGCAUCAAUAUUGACACUAUAAAAGAUGAAAAAAUAAUAACAUGAUCCAACAAUAACAUGAUCCAACGCAUGAAUAAUC
This 8470-nucleotide long non-coding RNA is filed under the name Hordeum vulgare. RNAcentral's name for it is "long non-coding RNA (HVUL_LNC013034)". Lineage: Eukaryota; Viridiplantae; Streptophyta; Magnoliopsida; Poales; Poaceae. The record is from RNAcentral.